CCUACGGGCGGCAGCAGUGAGGAAUAUUGGUCAAUGGUCGGGAGACUGAACCAGCCAAGCCGCGUGAGGGAUGAAGGUACAGAGUAUCGUAAACCUCUUUUGUCAGGGAACAAAGGCGGGGCCGCGUCCCCGGAUGAGUGUACCUGAAGAAAAAGCAUCGGCUAACUCCGUGCCAGCAGCCGCGGUAAUACGGAGGAUGCGAGUGUUAUCCGGAUUUAUUGGGUUUAAAGGGGGCGCAGGGGGUCUGUUAAGUCGGCGGUAAAAGCCCGGGGCGCAACCCCGGCCCGCCGUUGAAACUGGCAGUCGCGAGUUGGAGAGAAGUAUGCGGAAUGCGCGGUGUAGCGGUGAAAUGCAUAGAUAUCGCGCAGAACUCCGAUUGCGAAGGCAGCAUGCCGGCUCCACACUGACGCUGAGGCACGAAAGCGUGGGUAUCGAACAGGAUUAGAUACCCGGGUAGUC
Molecule: ribosomal RNA, 459 nt
Filed under: uncultured bacterium
Lineage: Bacteria
Description: partial 16S ribosomal RNA
Rfam family: Bacterial small subunit ribosomal RNA
Source: RNAcentral